UUUGUAUUGACCUUUUGUGACUAGUGGCUUUUUUGGCUAAAUUAUGAAUGCAAUCCCAAAAUUUCUAUUUAAAAAAAAAGAAAAAAAGAUACAUAAUCUAUAAAUUUGAAAUUUGAGCUUUUUCAUAAAAGUUAAUAAUUUGGUGGGUUUAUGUCUAAAAUAAAAGAGGAACUAUUGUUUCCCAAAGACUAGAAGGCAUGAACAAAUCCAUUUACAUACCACACUUCAUGCAUGAUGUUCUAUUUCAAAAGGUGACCACAUAAAAGUUUGCUUUCAUUUUUUUAAGUCUACUUUUGGGGGGGAGGGAGUAGACGACUUUCCUCACGUUUACUGCAUUUGUUUUGUUGUAGUUUUUUUUUUUUUUUUUUUUUUUUGAGGGACAAACGGGGUCCCAGAAAUCCCCCAUGGAAGCUCUGAUAUUUACCCUUAGAAUGUUGGUGGGGGACUUCGCUGAAAUGCUCCAUAGGUCGUUCAUUUGUUCUGUUUUUGCCUGCAACUUCCCGUCGUUUGCAUUUGAGUUAAAAGAAGAUGUUGCCGUUUGAAACUGUGCGUUUGUAUGCGAAAAAAGAUAAGUCAGCGUUUUUUAUUCUUCAACUUAAACAAUAUUGAAACUGCCUGCAACCUCUCUAUCUACUUUAUGUUUUCUAUGUUUCACUCCAAAGAAGGAAUAAGGUACAACAUACCACGGCUGUAGGAUGAUCAAAAUUUUGUGAAAUAUAGAUAAAUGCACAAUUUAUAAAUGUAGAAAUUUGAAAUCCAGAGUAACGGAUAUGUUAAGAGGGUCUAAAGUUUUAUUUCUUCAAAUAUAACAAAAGAAAAAAUUGAUCCAUAAUUUAUAAUUAAAUAGUUAAAAAUAUUUAUCUCUCAGUUAGAAGUCUCAUAUUGAAUUUUCUCUUCCCAAUAUCAUUUGUAUAAAUAAAUAAACGAAGCUUGUAAAGUAAGAAAAUAAGCCACUAAUUUAAUAUUGCCAACCAUUAGCUAAUUUAGAGGCAACAACAACUACUCCAACAACAUCCAUCUUUACAAAUUUAAUAAUGCCAACCAGUAGUUAUAAAGUUAUGUCAUGUGAACCCUAUUGUUGACCCAAAAAAGUUCUUCGAAACUUUGUCAGAAAACUUUGGUCUUUGUUCUUUUAUGAAGAUCACAUAAAAUAAACAGCAAGCAAGUGAUUUAUAUUCUCAACGGCCCUUUAUGCAAGAGGAGGACCACCUUUUGAAGGGCUUCAAAGUUGAAACUUGAAAGGUACCACAUAUAUAGAAUAAUAUAUUAUAUAUGGCUAUUAUAUAUGUAGGGUACCUUAAAUUUUGGGCACUUUUUAUAUGUCACCUUUUUUUUUUUUUUUUGGGUUACAAAAUGUUUAGGGAUAAGGGAAGUUAGGAUGGAGAUACUAAGGCCUUUUUGAGGAUUUAUAGAGAGAUUCUUAACCUAUUUUUUAGUGUUUACAAAUUACUCACCAAGAUGGAUUGUCGGCAUCAAGAAUGGAACUUAGGCCUUAUAUGUCACCUUUUUAUUAUAUGUGACGUUGUGCUUUACUUUUGGAAUGUCAACAUGACAAUAACAAGUGCUCUAAUUUCUAAAGUGGAAGCAUUUGUCAGUUAAUUCAGCAUAUUGUGGGCUUUUGUUUUUGGAAAGAAGAAAAUGAAAUUAGGCCCAAAGAGAAAAUUGGCAUUUUAUUCAACAGAAGUUAGGCCCAAUCACUUAUUAGAGCAUCUCUACCCAUAAGGGCUAAGGCAAGGGCAAGGGCAAGUAAGGGCUGCCACAAUUCAUGUGAAUAGUGGCAGCCUUGUCUUUUUUGGUUCCACCCCAAAAGGCUAGGGCAAGGGCAAGAAAAAAAAAAAAAAGAAUAUGCAACAAAAUAUAAAUUUGUUAUGUAUUUAUAGGAAAAGUGAAUAAAAUUGUUAUGUAUUUAUAGGGAAAACAUCCAUAAUUUUUUGGUAUUUUUUUUUAAAAAAAAUUUGAUUUUUUUUCCUUUUUUUUCAAUUUUUUUGACUCGCUGACGUCAGCGUGACAUCACCACUGACAUCAGCGCCCUAGGGCUGAAGCCCAGGCAAAAUCUGCCCUUGGGCUUGCCCAGGCUGGUGGGACUCAGGGCUUGCCCGGGCUGCAGGUCGUGCGCUGGAGGGUCUUUUGGGCUGGCAGGGGGCCUUUUGCCCAGGUUGGUGGCAUGCGCUGGACAUGCUCUUAGGACAAAUAAGAGCCUAGAAGCCCAGAACCCUAGGCCCGCCUAAGACUCGCCUGCCUAUGCCUUUCUUUUUUUAAGAUUUAAUUGAUGCACUCCCUAAUUUCAUUUUAUACUUAAUCAAAAUAAUGUAAUAUGUAUGAUAAACUAAUAAACUUCUUGUUUUUUUUACACAUGUUAUAAAUUAAGUUAAUUUUUUCAAUGUUAUACACUAUAUCUUUUAGUGCCCCUUUUUUGUCAAGUUCAAAUUUAAUCGUGCAAUAAAGAAUUUGGAAGAUUUUUUGGUACUAAUUCUAAUGACACAAAUUACUUCAAUUUUCAUGAUGUCAAUCCUAAUUUAGGAUAGAAGCAACACAUUUUCAUAACCUCCUUCCCCUCCAGCCAAAAGAUACCCACCAAAUUUGUCUCCCUUAGCACCCAUCGGAAGCCUCCCACCAUCAUUGCACCAGACCAAGCACCAUCCAAUUAAUUUUCACGUAAUCCUCUUUGGGCUUUUGUCAUCUAGCUGGCCGCUACGCUCCAUGCUGCCUAGCCUCCCCAAGAGAGCCCUUCUUCAUAGGCAAGAGGUACUCCCCUUGUGGUACUUAUAGUCAUUGGCUACUAAUAAUAUGUGUUGGUUUGCAAGGCAUUGCGAAUAUGUUUGAGUUGAAAUUAGUCCUAGAUUGAAAAAUUAGAGUUCCUUAGAGGUCUUUAUAAUACUUAGUCUUGAAAAUUCUCUAAACAAAC
RNAcentral lists this long non-coding RNA (2905 nucleotides) under Prunus persica (peach). RNAcentral's name for it is "long non-coding RNA (PPER_LNC002524)". Lineage: Eukaryota; Viridiplantae; Streptophyta; Magnoliopsida; Rosales; Rosaceae. The record is from RNAcentral.